CAGGCAGCAAAGACAAGAAGGACUUGCUAUAGACAAAAGAGAAACUUUCUUGCCAAGCGUCACUGAAAUCACACUUUCAAGAGUCAUGGUUUUCUUUUUAUGUUUUGUGGUGGCCUUUUAUUUCAUUUUAAAGAAGAUUGCAAAAACAAAGCAGAAGAGGAAAGCCCAAAGACAGAAGAAAAAUAUUUAAACAACGGAGGAAAAAUACUGGAAUCCCUGGAGCUCAUCCCUUCAAAGUGUCUUUCCAAAAGUCCUGCAUCUCCACCACAACAGCUCUCUGGACGAAUUACGACAUUAUGA
This 300-nucleotide long non-coding RNA is filed under the name Capra hircus (goat). RNAcentral describes it as "lncRNA (ENSCHIG00000002394.1)". The record is from RNAcentral. Lineage: Eukaryota; Metazoa; Chordata; Mammalia; Artiodactyla; Bovidae.